GGGUAACGGGGAUUAGGGUUCGAUUCCGGAGAGGGAGCCUGAGAAACGGCUACCACAUCCAAGGAAGGCAGCAGGCGCGCAAAUUACCCAAUCCCGAUACGGGGAGGUAGUGACAAUAAAUAACAAUACAGGGCUCUUAUGGGUCUUGUAAUUGGAAUGAGUACAAUUUAAAUCCCUUAACGAGGAACAAUUGGAGGGCAAGUCUGGUGCCAGCAGCCGCGGUAAUUCCAGCUCCAAUAGCGUAUAUUAAAGUUGUUGCAGUUAAAAAGCUCGUAGUUGAAUUUCGGGGUUCUACCGUUGGUCGGGCAAUAGUCUGUACUGGCGUGUGGAAUUUCUACCUUCUGGGGAACCAUCAUGUUAUUAAUUUAGCGUGGUGGGAAACCAGGACCUUUACCUUGAAAAAAUUAGAGUGUUCAAAGCAGGCUUACGUCUGAAUACAUUAGCAUGGAAUAAUAAAAUAGGACGGUGGUCCUGUUUUGUUGGUUUCUGAAUCACCGUAAUGAUUAAUAGGGAUAGUUGGGGGCAUUAGUAUUCAAUUGUCAGAGGUGAAAUUCUUGGAUUUAUUGAAGACUAACUUCUGCGAAAGCAUUUGCCAAGGAUGUUUUCAUUAAUCAAGAACGAAAGUUAGGGGAUCGAAGACGAUCAGAUACCGUCGUAGUCUUAACCAUAAACUAUGCCGACUAGGGAUCGGACGAUGUUAAUUUUUCUUGACUCGUUCAGCGCCUUACGGGAAACCAAAGUGUUU
Molecule: ribosomal RNA, 745 nt
Filed under: Gigaspora margarita
Lineage: Eukaryota; Fungi; Glomeromycota; Glomeromycetes; Diversisporales; Gigasporaceae
Description: SSU rRNA
Rfam family: Eukaryotic small subunit ribosomal RNA
Source: RNAcentral